This 514-nucleotide ribosomal RNA is filed under the name Anaplasma centrale. Its description in RNAcentral is "bacterial SSU rRNA". It matches the Rfam family "Bacterial small subunit ribosomal RNA", at positions 848 to 1359 of the family's 1533-position model. Lineage: Bacteria; Pseudomonadati; Pseudomonadota; Alphaproteobacteria; Rickettsiales; Anaplasmataceae. The record is from RNAcentral.
GUAGCUAACGCGUUAAGCACUCCGCCUGGGGACUACGGUCGCAAGACUAAAACUCAAAGGAAUUGACGGGGACCCGCACAAGCGGUGGAGCAUGUGGUUUAAUUCGAUGCAACGCGAAAAACCUUACCACUUCUUGACAUGGAGGCUAGAUCUUCCUUAACGGGAAGGCGCAGUUCGGCUGGGCCUCGCACAGGUGCUGCAUGGCUGUCGUCAGCUCGUGUCGUGAGAUGUUGGGUUAAGUCCCGCAACGAGCGUAACCCUCAUCCUUAGUUACCAGCGGGUAAUGCCGGGCACUUUAAGGAAACUGCCAGUGAUAAACUGGAGGAAGGUGGGGAUGAUGUCAAGUCAGCACGGCCCUUAUGGGGUGGGCUACACACGUGCUACAAUGGCGACUACAAUAGGUUGCAACGUCGCAAGGCUGAGCUAAUCCGUAAAAGUCGUCUCAGUUCGGAUUGUCCUCUGUAACUCGAGGGCAUGAAGUCGGAAUCGCUAGUAAUCGUGGAUCAGCAUGCCA